GUGGUCCCACCUGACCCCAUGCCGAACUCAGAAGUGAAACGCCGUAGCGCCGAUGGUAGUGUGGGGUCUCCCCAUGCGAGAGUAGGGAACUGCCAGGC
Molecule: ribosomal RNA, 98 nt
Filed under: Citrobacter freundii
Lineage: Bacteria; Pseudomonadati; Pseudomonadota; Gammaproteobacteria; Enterobacterales; Enterobacteriaceae
Also listed under: 68 other names
Source: RNAcentral